AGUCGAGCGGUAGCACGGAGAAACUUGUUUCUUGGGUGACGAGCGGCGGACGGGUGAGUAACGCGUAGGAAUCUACCUAGUAGAGGGGGACAACAUGUGGAAACGCAUGCUAAUACCGCAUACGCCCUAAGGGGGAAAGGAGGGGACUUUUCGGAGCCUUCCGCUAUUAGAUGAGCCUGCGUGAGAUUAGCUAGUUGGUAGGGUAAAGGCCUACCAAGGCGACGAUCUCUAACUGGUCUGAGAGGAUGACCAGUCACACUGGGACUGAGACACGGCCCAGACCCCUACGGGAGGCAGCAGUGGGGAAUAUUGGACAAUGGGCGCAAGCCUGAUCCAGCCAUGCCGCGUGUGUGAAGAAGGCCUUAGGGUUGUAAAGCACUUUCAGGGGUGAGGAAGGGUGAUUGGUUAAUACCCAAUUAUCUUGACGUUAGCCCCAGAAGAAGCACCGGCUAACUCUGUGCCAGCAGCCGCGGUAAUACAGAGGGUGCAAGCGUUAAUCGGAAUUACUGGGCGUAAAGCGCGCGUAGGUGGUUUGUUAAGUCGGAUGUGAAAUCCCAGGGCUCAACCUUGGAAUGGCACCCGAUACUGGCAGGCUAGAGUAUGGUAGAGGGGUGUGGAAUUUCCUGCGUAGCGGUGAAAUGCGUAGAUAUAGGAAGGAACAUCAGUGGCGAAAGCGACACCCUGGACUAAUACUGACACUGAGUGCGAAAGCGUGGGGAGCAAACAGGAUUAGA
This 734-nucleotide ribosomal RNA is filed under the name uncultured bacterium. RNAcentral describes it as "bacterial SSU rRNA". It matches the Rfam family "Bacterial small subunit ribosomal RNA", at positions 60 to 782 of the family's 1533-position model. The record is from RNAcentral.